Molecule: ribosomal RNA, 779 nt
Filed under: Blastococcus saxobsidens
Lineage: Bacteria; Bacillati; Actinomycetota; Actinomycetes; Geodermatophilales; Geodermatophilaceae
Description: bacterial SSU rRNA
Rfam family: Bacterial small subunit ribosomal RNA
Source: RNAcentral
UUGAUCCUGGCUCAGGACGAACGCUGGCGGCGUGCUUAACACAUGCAAGUCGAACGGUGAACCUGCUUCGGUGGGGGAUCAGUGGCGAACGGGUGAGUAACACGUGGGCAACCUGCCCUCAGCUCUGGGAUAACUCCAAGAAAUUGGGGCUAAUACCGGAUAUGACUGCUGACCGCAUGGUCUGGUGGUGGAAAGAUUUAUCGGCUGGGGAUGGGCCCGCGGCCUAUCAGCUUGUUGGUGGGGUAGUGGCCUACCAAGGCGACGACGGGUAGCCGGCCUGAGAGGGUGACCGGCCACACUGGGACUGAGACACGGCCCAGACUCCUACGGGAGGCAGCAGUGGGGAAUAUUGCGCAAUGGGCGAAAGCCUGACGCAGCGACGCCGCGUGGGGGAUGACGGCCUUCGGGUUGUAAACCUCUUUCAGCAGGGACGAAGCGAAAGUGACGGUACCUGCAGAAGAAGCACCGGCCAACUACGUGCCAGCAGCCGCGGUAAUACGUAGGGUGCAAGCGUUGUCCGGAAUUAUUGGGCGUAAAGAGCUCGUAGGCGGUUCGUCGCGUCGGCUGUGAAAUCCCGAGGCUCAACCUCGGGCCUGCAGUCGAUACGGGCGGACUUGAGUUCGGCAGGGGAGACUGGAAUUCCUGGUGUAGCGGUGAAAUGCGCAGAUAUCAGGAGGAACACCGGUGGCGAAGGCGGGUCUCUGGGCCGAAACUGACGCUGAGGAGCGAAAGCGUGGGGAGCGAACAGGAUUAGAUACCCUGGUAGUCCACGCCGUAAA